AGUAUAAAACACAAGUAUGGAAGAAGGGAAUACUGUUGACGUAAUUAACAUCAAUUAUUUAGAAGUAUAAACAAAAAAUAUGUCUUUUUGGUGAAGUUCUUUUCUUCUUCUGAAUCUUUGAAUAACGGAGAUAUUAAAUUUGAGUAUUAUAUAUUUAAGGUUCUAUUUUUUCUAUUGUUGGUUUCUUCUAUUUAUUAUUUGCUGAAACACAACAGGUCUAUUCUAUUGAGCUUGAAGGUAAUUUGUCCGUCACAAAGUUUGUCCCAGCAAAUUUUUGUGAAUUCUCAAUUUCACAAAAUUAAGAAUAAUUUUGAGAUAAUCAAACAAACUGUUCACCAAUUUCGAUUGAAUACACUCAAACGAAUAAAUUGGUAGUUCAGAGUUCUUCAAAAUUUCUAUUACAUCGAUCAGAAUCCAUUGAUUUCUUCAUCAUAUCUAUAGAAAAAAGCAGAGAAAUUUCAUAAGACACUUUUAAGGAGAUUACUACAAUUCUUAUACCUAUUGCAUUGAUGCCGAUGCUUGCUGGGAAUGGUGAAGAUACAUUAUUGGCCGAUUGUGAAGUUAAUCUGAAGAACCUCAAUUUGCUGGGAAUGGAGUUGAUGUUUUAGUUCACGACUCUACUACUGCUAAACAACUUCUGGUAUUCGUAUUAAUCUUUAAAUUUGUUAUUUCAUUUGUAGAGUUACAAGGAACCAUCAUAUGUUUUUUGCAUCAGGUAAUGUAUUCUGACUUUACAGUUGAUACAGUUGAAUAAAAAAGUGGUAUUUUCUGUUAUGUACUACUAAACUAUGCAUCAUAUUAAACUUCGUUUUAGUUACCCAAUCUGGAAGUAACUUUUGUUGUUUUCAAUUGUCGAUGGGCGAUUCAUUGGCCUUGUAGUUUACUAACUAUUUUCUUGUGAUGAAAACUGAAGGGCUAAAUUUACAUUUUGUUUGCAGUCUGAAGUCACUGCUCUAAAGAUCUACACCCAUGGCAGGAGCAAUUGGUGUUGUAGAAAAUGGUUGUUCAGUCCCUGAAGCUGCUGCUUCAAGGGUGGAAGCUUUUUCAAGACUCUUAACUUCUUCCAAUUUUUAUUAGACUACAAAGGUUCCCUCCGAUUACAACCAAUUUUGUUUCUGUUCUUGUUUGUUUCUGCUUUACAAAUCAGAUUCAUGACAUUACAUUCACAGAUUCAAGACAUUUCAGGGUCUUUCCGUUGGGAUCCAUUUUUUGCGCUGCAGAAAUCUGACACCUUCUUAACCAUGCUUUUGCUGCUGUCAUGCCAUUGGUUGAUCUAGCGGAAGGAAAUCUUGAUAACAUUAUCACACAUCUUCUGUGGUUCGUAUGCUAGCGGAAUGUGUUGGACUUCUUUGGUUUGAGACCUCAGAUAAAAAAGUUACCUGUACAAGUUAGCAGCAGCAAAGGUAAUAGAACAUGUUGCUGGAGUUCUUGCAGGCUUGUUAAAAGGUGGGAUGAGUAACUGGUCAGUGAAUUCCGUAGUAAAGCAUUUUUGGAAGCCUUCACUAUUUCAAAAGAAGGAAAGGAAGAGAGUCUCAAGUUCAAAACAGUGACAUGAAAAAUCCCCCUUUACCAGCGUUAAGCGGUGCUAACUACCAUGCAUCACCAGCAGACCUGCGUAUAACCAGCGAAGACCUUCGUUAGCAUCUGCAGAUGUAGACCCCUCUGCUGCACCACAUCCUAAAUAGUAUAUGGAGCCGUUAGUGAUUCGCAUUGCUGGGCUGUAAAAGAAUGCAAGGAAAGGAUAUAGUCGUGUGGUUAGGUAUAUGCACCGAUGGACCAGUUCACUAUUAAGACAAUUGUAAUUAAGUUAAUUGGCAUGGAGUGAUUGUUUAAACCGCGUUGUGAUGGUACGAUAUUGUAAAUUAUAGUGCAAAUGCAAUCUUCGUUUCCGUUGGUUUUGAGCAA
Papaver somniferum (opium poppy) is the source of this 1905-nucleotide long non-coding RNA. RefSeq lists it as uncharacterized. The transcript is spliced from 5 exons. The record is from RefSeq and is a predicted model, not a curated record. NCBI's taxonomy places the organism in Eukaryota, Viridiplantae, Streptophyta, Magnoliopsida, Ranunculales, Papaveraceae.